CUUUCUGAGCAGUAUGACUAGGACAGCAUGCUAGACAAUAUGAAGAGAAGGAAGGAAAGAUCUCUGCAUAUAUUCGGGAAACUCCACUGGCUGCUGAACCCUGAAUUCCUAGGGUGGAAAGAGAGAACUUCAUGCCAUUCUUUUUAAAAACAGCUCUUUGAAUGCUGUUGUUGUUUUUGUACAUAAUUCAUGUGGUAUAGGAAUAAUUCAGAUUCAGAUCUCACAAUCACACACACUGUCUGCUUUUCUCUGUGCAUUAUGUAACUGAUUCCCUGAAUGAGGCUUCCUGGUGCUUGUAGCUCUCACCCUUUGGUGUAAUGGAUGAGAAGGACAACAGCAGCUGAGAGACCCAAAGGACCGCUAAAAGAACCCUAUGCAUUGUGUUAAAAAAAGAGAGAAAACUGAACACAUUUAUGAAGAAUGGUUUGCAUUUUGAAUUUGACUGACAGUCCACUCAAAUCAGAAGGUCCUCCCCUGACAAUCUUGGAUUUUCUCAAUCUCUUGCAUUUAUCAUCAAUACAGAUCUGGAGACUAGGCUGAAAAGGCUGAUUUAGCCAAAACCAACAACAGUCAAGGAAGGACAAGAAGGAACAACUGCCCCCAAAUUAGGAUCUGGAUGGAGAGAAUGUGUAGUGGUUUCACCCCCAUGUUUGGAAGGCUUGUCCUUCAGAUAAUUCUGGAUUUGGAAGACACAGCCUGGCUUUGCCAAAAUGAGAAAUGCUGAGCUCCAAACGGAAGUGAACUAGUUUUGCCUUUGCUUUUGGUACCUUUAAAUAACAAGAGAAUUUGUUUGGCAACCUUGCUUCAGCUUGGAGUGUGAGGUGGAGACCCUGCUGAGUGUGUUACAGAGAACAGGGAAGAAGGCAUCUUUCAAGAAGUAUAAAUAAAUUCCUAAAAUU
Long non-coding RNA from Pantherophis guttatus, 899 nucleotides. RefSeq lists it as uncharacterized. Lineage: Eukaryota; Metazoa; Chordata; Lepidosauria; Squamata; Colubridae. The record is from RefSeq and is a predicted model, not a curated record.